Molecule: small nuclear RNA, 108 nt
Organism: Callithrix jacchus (white-tufted-ear marmoset)
Lineage: Eukaryota; Metazoa; Chordata; Mammalia; Primates; Cebidae
Source: Ensembl
GUGCUCACUUCAGCAGAAUAUAUACUGUAAUUGGAAUAAUUUAUAGAAGAUUACCAUGGCCUCUGUGCAAAAAUGACACAUUAAUUCAUGGAUAUAUUCUAUAAAUUU